CGGAGUAUAGCGCAGUCUGGUAGCGCGCCUGCUUUGGGAGCAGGAUGUCGGGAGUUCGAAUCUCUCUACUCCGACCA
This 77-nucleotide transfer RNA is filed under the name Marinomonas primoryensis. Its description in RNAcentral is "tRNA-Pro". It matches the Rfam family "tRNA". Rfam says of the family: Transfer RNA (tRNA) molecules are approximately 80 nucleotides in length. Lineage: Bacteria; Pseudomonadati; Pseudomonadota; Gammaproteobacteria; Oceanospirillales; Oceanospirillaceae. The record is from RNAcentral. RNAcentral also lists the same sequence under 23 other names.